AUAAAGACUCUGUACUGUAGAGAUGUCCACCUCCCCGGUCGGUGCAGAGGCGAUGUCAUUCCAGCUGGAAUCUCAAGCAGGCUCCACGAACCUGGUGAGCUGGUUCCAACACGUCUGUGCAAGAGCAAAAGGCUUGGAACAGCCCAAGAAUCCAGACAAGGCGUCGAGAGGAAGCCUCCCUAGAUCUGGAUGUGCCAAGGUUCUGGAGAUGAGGGUGGCCGUGUGGGGCCAGAUGUCACUGCCAGGGGCCGCAGGCCUGCAGACAAGAAUCACAGCCAUUGGGAGCACAGCUGUGGCCGUGUGUGCAUUACUCACUGCCAGCCUGGCCAGUGAGCUCCGGCCCAGAGGACCCAGCAUCCAGAUGGUGGUCGCCACAGCCGAGAUGGUGAAUGAGCACACGACAGAUGGGACACACGUGCACCACAGCAGCAGCUGCGCCGCCCAGUGCCCCGGAGAAACACUCACGAGCGUGCAAAGGCUCUGGCAGCAACCAGAAAAGCCGAGGCCAGACACAUGCUGGGCACACCCUCUGCGGUGGGACCAGUGCCUUUGCUGCAGUCACACGGGAACUGGCCGGUGACGGGAACCACAACUACACCUUCAAAUGUCAACAGAGCCAGCUCAAAAAUGCAAGGGGAGCCAGAUGGGGUGGUGCACAACUGUAAUCCUAGCUCCUCCGGGGCAGGAGAAUCCCAAAUUUGAGGUCAGACUGGGCAACUUAGCAAGACUGAGCUUAAAAAACAAAAGCAACAUAUAUGUAAGGCGUAAGCUACUGAAGGAUGUGUGCGGUGUAUCAUUCAAAACGAGGACACAAGCCUGGCGUGGUGGUGCAGGCCUAUAAUCCCAGCCCUCAGGAGGCUGAGGCAGGCAGACUGCCUCUAGUUUAAGGGCAGCCUGGACUACAAAGUGAUCUCAAGGCCAGCCUGAAAUACAUAGUGAGACCCUGUCUCAAAAAGAAACAAAAAACACUAUAAAGAAAAGCAAGGCAGAAGAAACCCCAGGCCAGUGGGUUCCUGUGACGGGGCUGGGGAGCAGGUUCUGCACACAAAUGCCAGCAGUCUGUCCUUCUGUCCUUGUCUCUAUGGACCGCAGCGGGCCCUACCCACCAGCCUGACGUCCACAUCCACUACAUUUCCCAAGGCCCCACCCACACCUUGGAGUUCACCAGUAUCUCUUACUCCUGUGUGUACGGUCCUGGCUUCCAGGAGGUGCUAAGUGAGGGUUUGUUGUAGGACUGAAUAAGGCUGUGAAGAAUGGAAUCCUUCCCAGUUCUGGUGGACACUGCGAUGCUGUGACCUCUGCUGGGGAGACUGAGGCCAGGGCAGCCAAGAUUCCCACCAGCUCAGCAAUUAGCACCUCCCUGGGAGGCCUACAUGUUGAGGAGGGAGGCGCUGCACCCACACUCCUUCCUCCAGGCCUGGGCCAAGCCACAUGCUGCACAUCUGGGGCCCCCACCCCCACUGGGGUUCCCGGAGGCUGGCCACACCCCCAGCUCCUGCCAGCUUCCUGCUCACAGGCCUCCAAAUCCACCGUCCAGGGCCUGCACCCAGAGGAUGCCUUCCUGCCUGGAAGGGGGUCCCUGCCUUGGGUCUGCCUUGCAUUCAGCUCUUGGCCUGGUCCCCGCUCUUCCAGCCCCCAAGCCUCCUUGGUAGGCUGGCCUGGGCCUUGGCCAGCUCUGCCUCCUCCCGCAGGGGUGAGACCUCCCCUUCCCUGCCUGUCCUCAGGCCUGGUGGGGACAGGAGGACCAGGUAGGCCGCAACCACACCCUGUGCGGUGCCUUCGUCUCCCCAUCCAGCCUCCCAUGCCCUCUCCCUCCUCAGAAAGGGCUGCGGGUGGGGUUAAGGGGUGGAAGAUGCUGACGGGAAACAGGGCUGGAGCCCAGGGCUGCCACACCCAGAUGCCCGCCUGGAGUGAGGCCAGGCUGGGCUUUGAGGAGUCUGGGGACCCCUACCCCACCCCCGUUCCCACCCCUCCCUCCGGGGUCCUGAGCUGAAGAAAGACUCUUUUUUUUGGGCCUGUGACCUCAGAUUCUCAGCCCGGGCGGUGGGCCCAGCUCAAUUGUCCUGGCUGGUUCCACUGGCCAGGGCACUGCCCAGCCCUGCCCCCAUCAAAGGGCCCUUGAGCUCUGCGGCCAGCUCCCUGGUGGUCUUGCCACAUGGCCUCCCGCUGGCAGGAGGACAGGACUCUCCUAGGAUUCCCAUGCCGUGGGGGCAUGGAGGAGGUGGCUUCCAGCCAAGGAGCCCUGCAUGCCUGGUCAGGCCUGCUGGCCUGCUGCAGGUCAGAGCAGAGGCCAACGCAAGCAGGGUGCGGGUCGGGCUGGGCUGCUAACUCGCACCCCACUCGGCUGUUCUUGGGGUGCAGUGCCUCCUCUGCACCCCGCAAGCAGGCCCUAGGCCCAUCUGCUCUCAGUGUCUCCACUGUUCCUGGGCCUGAUGCGGUCCCCGGCCAUCCCCGCCGUCCUUAGACUGUCACCGCGUGCAGGGCCCGCUGGAGACCUUCUCGCUCGCUGCUGGCCUGAGCGCCAGGGCGAGGCCGGGAAGGAUGUGGGUCUCCG
This is a long non-coding RNA of Chinchilla lanigera (long-tailed chinchilla), 2554 nucleotides long. Lineage: Eukaryota; Metazoa; Chordata; Mammalia; Rodentia; Chinchillidae. The record is from Ensembl.